RNAcentral lists this ribosomal RNA (433 nucleotides) under uncultured bacterium. RNAcentral's name for it is "partial 16S ribosomal RNA". It matches the Rfam family "Bacterial small subunit ribosomal RNA", at positions 29 to 507 of the family's 1533-position model. The record is from RNAcentral.
AACGAACGCUGGCGGCAUGCCUAACACAUGCAAGUCGAACGAGACCUUCGAGUCUAGUGGCGCACGGGUGCGUAACGCGUGGGAACCUGCCCUUAGGUUCGGAAUAACUCCCCGAAAGGGGUGCUAAUACCGGAUAAUGUCUUCGGACCAAAGAUUUAUCGCCUUUGGAUGGGCCCGCGUUGGAUUAGCUAGUUGGUAGGGUAAAAGCCUACCAAGGCGACGAUCCAUAGCUGGUCUGAGAGGAUGAGCAGCCACACUGGGACUGAGACACGGCCCAGACUCCUACGGGAGGCAGCAGUGGGGAAUAUUGGACAAUGGGCGAAAGCCUGAUCCAGCAAUGCCGCGUGAGUGAUGAAGGCCUUAGGGUUGUAAAGCUCUUUUACCCGGGAUGAUAAUGACAGUACCGGGAGAAUAAGCUCCGGCUAACUCCGUG